This 394-nucleotide ribosomal RNA is filed under the name uncultured bacterium. Its description in RNAcentral is "bacterial SSU rRNA". It matches the Rfam family "Bacterial small subunit ribosomal RNA", at positions 29 to 416 of the family's 1533-position model. The record is from RNAcentral.
AUUGAACGCUGGCGGCAUGCUUUACACAUGCAAGUCGAACGGCAGCACGGGUGCUUGCACCUGGUGGCGAGUGGCGAACGGGUGAGUAAUGCAUCGGAACGUGCCCAUGAGUGGGGGAGUAGCCCGGCCGAAAGACCGGAUUAAUACCGCAUACGCCCUUACGGGGGAAAGGACGGGGAGUCUUCGGACCUCGCGCUAUUGGAGCGGCCGAUGUCGGAUUAGCUAGUAGGUGAGGUAAAGGCUCACCUAGGCGACGAUCCGUAGCUGGUCUGAGAGGAUGAUCAGCCACACUGGGACUGAGACACGGCCCAGACUCCUACGGGAGGCAGCAGUGGGGAAUUUUGGACAAUGGGCGCAAGCCUGAUCCAGCCAUGCCGCGUGAGUGAAGAAGGCC